UACGUAGGGUGCGAGCGUUGUUCGGAAUUACUGGGCGUAAAGGGCGCGUAGGCGGUUCGUCAAGUCCUGUGUGAAAUCCCCCGGCUCAACUGGGGAACUGCACAGGAAACUAGCGGGCUUGAGUUCGGGAGAGGGAAGCGGAAUUCCGGGUGUAGCGGUGAAAUGCGUAGAUAUCCGGAGGAACACCGGUGGCGAAGGCGGCUUCCUGGACCGACACUGGCGCUGAGGCGCGAAAGCUAGGGGAGCAAACGGG
RNAcentral lists this ribosomal RNA (253 nucleotides) under uncultured bacterium. RNAcentral's name for it is "partial 16S ribosomal RNA". It matches the Rfam family "Bacterial small subunit ribosomal RNA", at positions 524 to 776 of the family's 1533-position model. The record is from RNAcentral.